This is a long non-coding RNA of Phlebotomus papatasi, 871 nucleotides long. RefSeq lists it as uncharacterized. NCBI's taxonomy places the organism in Eukaryota, Metazoa, Arthropoda, Insecta, Diptera, Psychodidae. The record is from RefSeq and is a predicted model, not a curated record. The transcript has 3 exons.
UUCACAUGCCACAUCCAUUCACAUUGGUGUGAAUGGUGAGGAAUACUACUGAUCAUCUCACGAGAGAGACUCUUGAAUUUUCACGAAUGAGCAUCACCCAGUGGCUAAGAGUUUAGUCGAUUGGGCGAUACACGGCUGUUAACAUCACUCUUGCAAAAACCAAAUCUGCGAUUUUUUUUUCAAGACCAUUAAAGAAAAGACUAGAACUUUUUUAGCUUAACUCUCACUUUCGUUGAGGACAAGAGGUCAGACCAAGAUCAAAGUGCAGUAAAAUCUACGUGAGUGCUUUUUCAAGUUCAGGAAUUCAAGUGAAAAUCCAUCAGCUACACAGCAAUGGCAAAGGGAAAAGGUGGCGGAAAUAAGGAUGAGAAAAAGGGUGGUGGAGCAGCUGCCGCCCCCAAAGCCGCCGAUGCCAAGCCGGCAGAAGCCAAAGGUGGAAAAGGAGGUAAAAAAGGUGGCAAAAAGUGACAGUAAGGAAAGGCCUUUCCCUUAAAGCAUCUCUGCAAUACAUUCUACUAUUGAUGAUUGUGAGAAAAGCAGAAAAUCAAUUUCUGAUUUUUCCUUAUCUGUGAAAAUGAUAAAUGUACACAUUGAUAUCGAUCCCCACCCCAUCACACACUCAAACUUUUAAACCCAUUCUACAUCACAAGAUGGAUAUCAACACGACAAAUAAAAAUAUCGUGACUUCCAACCAAUCUCUCUCACUCUCUCGGAUCAGUUGCAGUUGAACCAAAAAUAACCAAAACACUCUUUCUAACAAUGUGACUCAACUUAUAUUUUUUUCUUCUUUUGGAUUCGUGUACUUUUUGAGAACAAUAUAAUUGUAAUAAUAAAUACAAAAUAGAGAUAAAUCUCUAUGCGUAAAAUACAA